AUUGAACGCUGGCGGCAGGCCUAACACAUGCAAGUCGAGCGGCAGCGGGAAAGUAGCUUGCUACUUUUGCCGGCGAGCGGCGGACGGGUGAGUAAUGCCUGGGAAAUUGCCCAGUCGAGGGGGAUAACAGUUGGAAACGACUGCUAAUACCGCAUACGCCCUACGGGGGAAAGCAGGGGACCUUCGGGCCUUGCGCGAUUGGAUAUGCCCAGGUGGGAUUAGCUAGUUGGUGAGGUAAUGGCUCACCAAGGCGACGAUCCCUAGCUGGUCUGAGAGGAUGAUCAGCCACACUGGAACUGAGACACGGUCCAGACUCCUACGGGAGGCAGCAGUGGGGAAUAUUGCACAAUGGGGGAAACCCUGAUGCAGCCAUGCCGCGUGUGUGAAGAA
This 390-nucleotide ribosomal RNA is filed under the name uncultured bacterium. RNAcentral describes it as "bacterial SSU rRNA". It matches the Rfam family "Bacterial small subunit ribosomal RNA", at positions 30 to 412 of the family's 1533-position model. The record is from RNAcentral.